This 402-nucleotide ribosomal RNA is filed under the name uncultured bacterium. RNAcentral's name for it is "bacterial SSU rRNA". It matches the Rfam family "Bacterial small subunit ribosomal RNA", at positions 355 to 746 of the family's 1533-position model. The record is from RNAcentral.
UCGAGAAUCUUCCACAAUGGACGAAAGUCUGAUGGAGCGACGCCGCGUGAGUGAUGAAGGCCCUACGGGUUGUAAAACUCUGUCAGGAGAGAAGAAUCGCCGGGAUGCCAAUACCAUCCUGGUUUGACGUUAUCUCCAGAGGAAGCUCCGGCUAACUCCGUGCCAGCAGCCGCGGUAAUACGGGGGGAGCAAGCGUUGUCCGGAAUUAUUGGGCGUAAAGGGCGUGUAGGCGGCUUGGUCAGUCGAAUGUGAAAUCCCACGGCUCAACCGUGGAAUUGCGUUCGAUACUGCCUGGCUUGAGUAUGUGAGAGGUGUGCGGAAUUCCUGGUGUAGCGGUUGGAAUGCGUAGAUAUCAGGAAGAACACCGAUGGCGAAGGCAGCACACUGGCGCAAUACUGACGC